UCCAGACUCCUACGGGAGGCAGCAGUGAGGAAUAUUGGUCAAUGGGCGAGAGCCUGAACCAGCCAAGUCGCGUGAAGGAUGACGGCCCUACGGGUUGUAAACUUCUUUUGUCAGGGAGCAAUUGGGUCCACGCGUGGGCUUAGCGAGAGUACCUGAAGAAAAAGCAUCGGCUAACUCCGUGCCAGCAGCCGCGGUAAUACGGAGGAUGCGAGCGUUAUCCGGAUUUAUUGGGUUUAAAGGGUGCGUAGGCGGUUUUAUAAGUUAGAGGUGAAAUCUCGGGGCUCAACUCCGAAAUUGCCUCUAAUACUGUAGGACUAGAGAGUAGUUGCGGUAGGCGGAAUGUAUGGUGUAGCGGUGAAAUGCUUAGAGAUCAUACAGAACACCGAUUGCGAAGGCAGCUUACCAAACUAUAUCUGACGUUGAGGCACGAAAGCGUGGGGAGCAAACAGGAUUAGAUACCCCUGUAA
Molecule: ribosomal RNA, 467 nt
Filed under: uncultured bacterium
Lineage: Bacteria
Description: bacterial SSU rRNA
Rfam family: Bacterial small subunit ribosomal RNA
Source: RNAcentral